Unclassified non-coding RNA from Aotus nancymaae (Ma's night monkey), 299 nucleotides. It matches the Rfam family "Metazoan signal recognition particle RNA". From Rfam's summary of the family: The signal recognition particle (SRP) is a universally conserved ribonucleoprotein. It is involved in the co-translational targeting of proteins to membranes. Lineage: Eukaryota; Metazoa; Chordata; Mammalia; Primates; Aotidae. The record is from Ensembl.
GCUGGGCACAGUAACAUGUGCCUGUAGUCCCAGCUACUCGGGAGGCUGAGGCUGGAGGAUCUCUUGAGUCUAGGAGUUUUGGGCUGUAGUGUGCUAUGCCGAUCAGGUGUCUGCACUAACUUCAGCAUCAAUAUGGUGACCUCCCGGGAGCGGGGGACCACCAGGUUGCCUAAGAAGGGGUGAACCGGCCCAGGUUGGAAGCAGAGCAGGUCAAAACUCCCGUGCUGAUCUGUAGUGGGAUCACACCUGUGAAUACCCACUGCACUCCAGCCUGGGCAACAUAGUGAGACCUUGUUUCU